ACGUUAGUUGCUAACGCGUGAAGGCGGAGCACUCUAGACGAACUGCCGUUGACAAAACGGAGGAAGGUGGGGAUGACGUCAAAUCAUCAUGCCCCUUAUGUUCUGGGCUACACACGUGCUACAAUGGCCGGUACAGACGGACGCAAAGCCGCGAGGUGGAGCAAAUCCUAAAAAGCCGGUCUCAGUUCGGAUUGCAGGCUGCAAUUCGCCUGCAUGAAGUCGGAAUCGCUAGUAAUCGCAGGUCAGCAUACUGCGGUGAAUACGUUCCCGGGCCUU
RNAcentral lists this ribosomal RNA (276 nucleotides) under uncultured Bacillus sp. RNAcentral's name for it is "partial 16S ribosomal RNA". It matches the Rfam family "Bacterial small subunit ribosomal RNA", at positions 1107 to 1382 of the family's 1533-position model. The record is from RNAcentral. Lineage: Bacteria; Bacillati; Bacillota; Bacilli; Caryophanales; Bacillaceae.